This is an RNA transcript of Setaria italica (foxtail millet), 3061 nucleotides long. It is a transcript of the gene named nuclear intron maturase 4, mitochondrial, with no coding region annotated. The record is from RefSeq and is a predicted model, not a curated record. Lineage: Eukaryota; Viridiplantae; Streptophyta; Magnoliopsida; Poales; Poaceae. The transcript is spliced from 3 exons.
UUCAUUCUGCUGCCGAGGCAUACAACGCUUCAUCUCCGCAGCGCACAUCAGCCGUUCGACGGAAUGCCCCACUAGACCAGGACGCCCGACGCCAUGUCCUUCCUGGCGUUCGGUCGCGGCCGCCUCCUCCGUGAGCUCUCCAAUCGGCGCCCGCCGCCGCCUCAACGGCGAGGAGUUCACGCCGCGUUCGUCCGGCGGUUCAGCGCGCAUCACUUCCCGCUCGAUGGAGUUGAGGACGCCGCGGAGCAAGCCGUCCAACCGCCACUGCCGUCGUCGCCGCCGGUUUCUCUGGCGAAGAGUCUGGCCUCUCUCGCCGAGGAGUCGGCCGAGGCCGUCCAGAGACAGAGGAAACCCCUCAUGCGGAUGGAGCGGAGGCGGCUGGCGGAGCUCCGCAUCAAGAAGAGGGUCAAGGCGCAGUACCUGAACGGCAGGUUCUACGACCUCAUGCGUAAGGUCGUGGCGACCGUCGAGACGCUGGAGGACGCGUACGACAUUAUCCGUCUCAAUUCGAACGUUGAUCUAGCGUCUGCGAAGGAUGAUGCCUGCUUCGUUACGCUGGCAGAGCAGCUGAGGAGUGGGGAGUUUGAUGUCAGAGCAAAUGCUUUCUCAGUGGUGGCGAAGAGACGGGGAGAAGGGUGCCUUGUUCUUCCUAGGCUGAACUUGAAAGUUGUUCAGGAAGCGAUAAGGGUGGUGUUGGAGGUUGUAUACAGGCCUCAAUUCUCAAAGAUAUCACAUGGUUGCCGCAGUGGGCGAGGGUAUCACUCAGCCCUCAGGUUCAUAUCAGAUGAAAUUGGGAUUCCAGAUUGGUGCUUUACUGUCCCAUUGCACAAAGAGGUUGAUAGCAAUGUAAACUCUAAGCUUAUUUCUCUGAUACAGGAGAAGAUUGAGGACACCCAGUUAAUUGCAUUCAUGCAAAAUAUGUUUGAUGCCAAGGUGAUCAAUUUGGUAUUUGGUGGGUACCCAAAGGGCCAUGGGCUGCCCCAAGAAGGCGUACUUGCACCAAUCCUGAUGAACAUAUAUCUUGACAGUUUUGACCAUGAGGUGUUCAGGAUUUGCUUGAAACAUGAAGGCCUUGGUUCAGAGGCAACAAACGUUUCAGAAGACCAUGGGUCAAAUUUGCGUCGCUGGUUUCGGAGCCAACUGAAGGGGAGAGAUGAAAAUAGUGAAGAACAAACAGAUUGUCAGACAAAGAUAAAGCUAUAUGCUUGUAGAUAUAUGGAUGAGAUUUUUGUUGCAGUUUCUGGAUCCAGAGAUGUUGCAGAAGAUUUGAAAUCUGAAAUUGUUGCUUACUUAAGCAAAUCACUUUACUUGGAAGUUGAUAAUAGGUUGCGUCUGAUGCCAGUCAAAAGGAAUUUGCGGGGAUUACAGUUUUGCGGUGUUGUGGUCAGAGCCGAAACAAAGGAAAACGCCAAACUGAAAGCUGUGCAUAAACUGAAGGAGAAGAUUGGUUUGUUUGCUUCUCAGAAGCAAGAGAUUUGGGACGCUAUGAAUCUUAGAGUAGGAAAGAAGUGGUUGGCAUAUGGUUUGAGAAGAAUAAAAGAGAGUGAGAUCAAGCCACUUGGCCUUAGCACCCCAUUACUCGAUCACAUUGCACAAUAUAGGAAAGACGGCAUGAAGACAGAUCACUGGUUCAAAACUUUAUUAAAGGUAUGGAUGCAGGAUGUCAAUGCCAAGAAAGAGCUAAAUGAGGAUGUUCUCCUAUCUAAAUACAUUGCUGAACCAGCACUUGCACAAGACCUUAGGUAUGCAUUCUACAACUUUCAGAAGCAAGCUAAAGAUUACAUCUCAUCAGAAACUGCUGCUACUGAGGCAUUGUUGUCCAGUUUAAAGAGCGAGGAAUCAAUUAGUACCUGCACUGAUGGUGGUAUCAUUAAAAUUCAUGCUCCUCUUAGCUAUAUUCAGAAGUGCCUUCAUCGCUAUGGUCUAAUUAAUCUCAAAGGUUUCCCUAGGCAUGUUUCAGCCCUUGUCUUGCAAGAUGAUGAGUUAAUAGUAAGUUGGUUUGCAGGAAUAAUUCAUCGUUGGAUAAGAUGGUUUUCUGAGGUUGACAAUUAUAAAGAACUUCAGCUUAUGUUUGUUGAAUGUGUCAGAAAAUCCUGCAUCAGGACAUUAUCUGCAAAGUAUCGGAUGUAUGAAAAAUUGACCGAAAAGCGGUUUGAACUUGAUGAUCAUGGCAUUCCAAGGGUUGAGGAUUUUGAGGCAAUAAUUAAACCUUUAGAAUCUAGUUAUUCUUUGGCUUCCACUGAUGAAGCUUUGAUGUAUGGCAUUUCUAGUAGUGGUUUAUUUGUGCUAACACUGUCAAGGGUUAGAGUCCCUACUCGACAAUUCAACUGCUUUGUCAUGGGCUGCCAAUCUGCAUCACCAAGUAUGUAUGUGCUUCAUGUGAAGGAGAAACAACAUUUUCCUGGAUGGAGGACAGGUUUCUCGUCAUCAAUUCAUGGGAGUUUGGAUGGUAAACGAAUUGGAUUGUGCACCCAGCAUGUUAAAGAUCUAUAUCUGGGACACAUCUCCCUUCAAUCAGUUGAUUUUGGUUCCCUGCUCAGAUGACUUGAAGAUGAUACCUGUGGUUUUCUAAUAGUCAGGGGCUUUCUACUGACUCACAGAGCAGUAGGUUCAGUGCUUGUAAACCAAUACAUGGUUGUUGCUAAUCGUAGUAUCAUUUGGUGAGAGAUAACUUACCUGGUAUGCUUGUGGACUACUUCAAAUUGAAAAUGAGCCUACAAUUUGAAGCGGCUCCUUUUCGGAAACCAAUCAAUUUAUGGACAAUUACUUUUGAGAAAGUUCUGCUGCUCUCCGGUAUAUACAUAUGUGACUGCUAAAACUCAAGUUUGUUUGACAGACUUGCAUUGGAUUCCCUGCUGGAUUGGCUCACUGAUUGUAACUUGUAUUCAGAGUUGUUUUGCGAUAAGCUCCUAACUGAAUCAGGCAGCAAACUGUGUAAUGAUGGACAAUAGAACUGAUGUAAAACGUGGAUUGGUUUGAUCUGAUCCAAUGAGAACCUGAUUUGGAGAAGUGCACAAUGCACUCAGGUUCACAAGAUGCGGUUGCAAACACAUGUUGCAUA